GACGAACGCCGGCGGCGUGCUUAACACAUGCAAGUGGAGCGACGAACCCGAGCUUGCGUCGGGGCAAGCCGCGAACGGGUGAGUAACGACGUGGGUAACCUGCCCUGUUGAUUCGGGACAACCCCGGGAACCGGGCUAAGUACCCGAAAUGUGCUACGCACCACAUCAGUGGAGUGAGGAAAGGAGCUUCGGCUUCCGCAACGGGAUGGGCCCG
This 214-nucleotide ribosomal RNA is filed under the name uncultured bacterium. RNAcentral's name for it is "partial 16S ribosomal RNA". It matches the Rfam family "Bacterial small subunit ribosomal RNA", at positions 28 to 233 of the family's 1533-position model. The record is from RNAcentral.